AUUGAACGCUGGCGGAAUGCUUUACACAUGCAAGUCGAACGGCAGCACGGGGGCAACCCUGGUGGCGAGUGGCGAACGGGUGGGUAAUACAUCGGAACGUGCCCAGUCGUGGGGGAUAACGUAGCGAAAGCUACGCUAAUACCGCAUACGAUCUACGGAUGAAAGCGGGGGAUCGCAAGACCUCGCGCGAUUGGAGCGGCCGAUGGCAGAUUAGGUAGUUGGUGGGGGUAAAGGCUCACCAAGCCGACGAUCUGUAGCUGGUCUGAGAGGACGACCAGCCACACUGGGACUGAGACACGGCCCAGACUCCUACGGGAGGCAGCAGUGGGGAAUUUUGGACAAUGGGGGCAACCCUGAUCCAGCCAUGCCGCGUGAGUGAAGAAGGCCUUCGGGUU
Molecule: ribosomal RNA, 395 nt
Filed under: uncultured bacterium
Lineage: Bacteria
Description: bacterial SSU rRNA
Rfam family: Bacterial small subunit ribosomal RNA
Source: RNAcentral